AAACGAUAGCUAAUACCGCAUAAAAGUCGGCAUUGCAUGAUGUUGACUUGAAAGGUGCAACUGCAUCACUAAGAGAUGGACCUGCGUUGUAUUAGCUAGUUGGUGAGGUAACGGCUCACCAAGGCGACGAUACAUAGCCGACCUGAGAGGGUGAUCGGCCACACUGGGACUGAGACACGGCCCAGACUCNUACGGGAGGCAGCAGUAGGGAAUCUUCGGCAAUGGACGGAAGUCUGACCGAGCAACGCCGCGUGAGUGAAGAAGGUUUUCGGAUCGUAAAGCUCUGUUGUAAGAGAAGAACGAGUGUGAGAGUGGAAAGUUCACACUGUGACGGUAACUUACCAGAAAGGGACGGCUAACUACGUGCCAGCAGCCGCGGUAAUACGUAGGUCCCGAGCGUUAUCCGGAUUUAUUGGGCGUAAAGCGAGCGCAGGCGGUUAGAUAAGUCUGAAGUUAAAGGCUGUGGCUUAACCAUAGUACGCUUUGGAAACUGUUUAACUUGAGUGCAGAAGGGGAGAGUGGAAUUCCAUGUGUAGCGGUGAAAUGCGUAGAUAUAUGGAGGAACACCGGUGGCGAAAGCGGCUCUCUGGUCUGUAACUGACGCUGAGGCUCGAAGCGUGGGGAGCA
Molecule: ribosomal RNA, 627 nt
Filed under: uncultured Bacilli bacterium
Lineage: Bacteria; Bacillati; Bacillota; Bacilli
Description: bacterial SSU rRNA
Rfam family: Bacterial small subunit ribosomal RNA
Source: RNAcentral